GACGAACGCUGGCGGCGUGCCUAAUACAUGCAAGUAGAACGCUGAAGAGAGGAGCUUGCUCUUCUUGGAUGAGUUGCGAACGGGUGAGUAACGCGUAGGUAACCUGCCUUGUAGCGGGGGAUAACUAUUGGAAACGAUAGCUAAUACCGCAUAACAAUGGAUGACACAUGUCAUUUAUUUGAAAGGGGCAAUUGUUCCACUACAAGAUGGACCUGCGUUGUAUUAGCUAGUAGGUGAGGUAAUGGCUCACCUAGGCGACGAUACAUAGCCGACCUGAGAGGGUGAUCGGCCACACUGGGACUGAGACACGGCCCAGACUCCUACGGGAGGCAGCAGUAGGGAAUCUUCGGCAAUGGGGGCAACCCUGACCGAGCAACGCCGCGUGAGUGAAGAAGGUUUUCGGAUCGUAAAGCUCUGUUGUAAGUCAAGAACGGGUGUGAGAGUGGAAAGUUCACACUGUGACGGUAGCUUACCGGAAAGGGACGGCUAACUACGUG
Molecule: ribosomal RNA, 497 nt
Filed under: uncultured bacterium
Lineage: Bacteria
Description: partial 16S ribosomal RNA
Rfam family: Bacterial small subunit ribosomal RNA
Source: RNAcentral